CGUUAUGGCGGCUGUGUAUGGGAGGCCUUCGGGUCUGCCGGGUUACUCCACCGGUCUUGCACACCUAUGCACAGCUGCCACCACU
This 85-nucleotide non-coding RNA is filed under the name Pseudomonas helmanticensis. The record is from RNAcentral. RNAcentral also lists the same sequence under 1 other name. Lineage: Bacteria; Pseudomonadati; Pseudomonadota; Gammaproteobacteria; Pseudomonadales; Pseudomonadaceae.